UACAGAGGUCUCAAGCGUUGUUCGGAUUCAUUGGGCGUAAAGGGUGCGUAGGUGGCGGGGUAAGUCCGGUGUGAAAUCUCGGGGCUCAACCCCGAAACUGCAUUUGAUACUGCCUUGCUCGAGUACUGGAGAGGAGAUUGGAAUUUACGGUGUAGCAGUGAAAUGCGUAGAUAUCGUAAGGAAGACCAGUGGCGAAGGCGAAUCUCUGGACAGUUACUGACACUGAGGCACGAAGGCCAGGGGAGCAAACGGG
RNAcentral lists this ribosomal RNA (253 nucleotides) under uncultured bacterium. Its description in RNAcentral is "partial 16S ribosomal RNA". It matches the Rfam family "Bacterial small subunit ribosomal RNA", at positions 524 to 776 of the family's 1533-position model. The record is from RNAcentral.